Molecule: ribosomal RNA, 348 nt
Filed under: uncultured bacterium
Lineage: Bacteria
Description: partial 16S ribosomal RNA
Rfam family: Bacterial small subunit ribosomal RNA
Source: RNAcentral
CCUACGGGAGGCAGCAGUGAGGAAUAUUGGUCAAGGGCCGUAAGGCUGAACCAGCCAAGUCGCGUGAAGGAAGAAGGAUCUAUGGUUGGUAAACUUCGUGUAUAGGGGAAUAAAGGGAGCCACGUGUGGAUAUUUGCAUGGACCCUAUGAAUAAGCAUCGGCUAACUCCGUGCCAGCAGCCGCGGUAAUACGGAGGAUGCGAGCGUUAUCCGGAUUUAUUGGGUUUAAAGGGUGCGUAGGGUGUUUUUUAAGUCAGCGGUGAAAGUUUGUGGCUCAACCAUAAAAUUGCCGUUGAAACUGGAAGUCUUGCGUGUGUUUGAGGUAGGCGGAAUGCGUGGUGUAGCGGUG